This 99-nucleotide transfer RNA is filed under the name Schizophyllum commune Tattone D. Its description in RNAcentral is "tRNA-Gln". It matches the Rfam family "tRNA". From Rfam's summary of the family: Transfer RNA (tRNA) molecules are approximately 80 nucleotides in length. Lineage: Eukaryota; Fungi; Basidiomycota; Agaricomycetes; Agaricales; Schizophyllaceae. The record is from RNAcentral.
GGUCCUAUAGUGUAGUGGUUAUCACAGCGGAUUCUGAUGGGUGGGAUCAUUGAACAAGACAAGAUUCCGCUAACGCAGGUUCGAGUCCUGCUAGGACCU